This 467-nucleotide ribosomal RNA is filed under the name uncultured bacterium. Its description in RNAcentral is "partial 16S ribosomal RNA". It matches the Rfam family "Bacterial small subunit ribosomal RNA", at positions 28 to 507 of the family's 1533-position model. The record is from RNAcentral.
GACGAACGCUGGCGGCGUGCUUAACACAUGCAAGUCGAACGGAAAGGCCUCUUUCGGGGGGUACUCGAGUGGCGAACGGGUGAGUAACACGUGAGUAACCUGCCCUUGACUUUGGGAUAACUUCAGGAAACUGGGGCUAAUACCGGAUAGGAGCUCCUGCUGCAUGGUGGGGGUUGGAAAGUUUCGGCGGUUGGGGAUGGACUCGCGGCUUAUCAGCUUGUUGGUGGGGUAGUGGCUUACCAAGGCUUUGACGGGUAGCCGGCCUGAGAGGGUGACCGGCCACAAUGGGACUGAGGUACGGGCCAGACUUCUACGGGGGGCAGCAGUGGGGAAAAUUGCCACAUGGGUGGGAGCCUGAUGCAGCAACGCCGUGUGCGGGAUGACGGCCUUCGGGUUGUAAACCGCUUUCGCUCAUGACGAAGCUUUGUGUGACGGUAGUGGGUAAAGAAGCACCGGCUAACUACGUG